CCUACGGGGGGCAGCAGUGGGGAAUAUUGGGCAAUGGGCGCAAGCCUGACCCAGCAACGCCGCGUGAAGGAAGAAGGCUUUCGGGUUGUAAACUUCUUUUCUCAGGGACGAAGCAAGUGACGGUACCUGAGGAAUAAGCCACGGCUAACUACGUGCCAGCAGCCGCGGUAAUACGUAGGUGGCAAGCGUUAUCCGGAUUUACUGGGUGUAAAGGGCGUGUAGGCGGGGACGCAAGUCAGAUGUGAAAACCACGGGCUCAACCUGUGGCCUGCAUUUGAAACUGUGUUUCUUGAGUACUGGAGAGGCAGACGGAAUUCCUAGUGUAGCGGUGAAAUGCGUAGAUAUUAGGAGGAACACCAGUGGCGAAGGCGGAUUGCUGGACAGUAACUGACGCUGAGGCGCGAAAGCGUGGGGAGCAAACAGGAUUAGAUACCCCAGUAGUC
Molecule: ribosomal RNA, 443 nt
Filed under: uncultured bacterium
Lineage: Bacteria
Description: partial 16S ribosomal RNA
Rfam family: Bacterial small subunit ribosomal RNA
Source: RNAcentral